ACGAACGCUGGCUGCGUGCCUAAUACAUGCAAGUAGAACGCACAGUUUAUACCGUAGCUUGCUACACCAUAGACUGUGAGUUGCGAACGGGUGAGUAACGCGUAGGUAACCUGCCUGGUAGCGGGGGAUAACUAUUGGAAACGAUAGCUAAUACCGCAUAAUAUUGAUUAUUGCAUGAUAAUUGAUUGAAAGAUGCUAUUGCAUCACUACCAGAUGGACCUGCGUUGUAUUAGCUAGUAGGUGAGGUAACGGCUCACCUAGGCGACGAUACAUAGCCGACCUGGGAGGGUGAUCGGCCACACUGGGACUGAGACACGGCCCAGACUCCUACGGGAGGCAGCAGUAGGGAAUCUUCGGCAAUGGACGAAAGUCUGACCGAGCAACGCCGCGUGAGUGAAGAAGGUUUUCGGAUCGUAAAGCUCUGUUGUAAGAGAAGAACGGGUGUGAGAGUGGAAAGUUCACACUGUGACGGUAUCUUACCAGAAAGGGACGGCUAACUACGUG
Molecule: ribosomal RNA, 504 nt
Filed under: uncultured bacterium
Lineage: Bacteria
Description: partial 16S ribosomal RNA
Rfam family: Bacterial small subunit ribosomal RNA
Source: RNAcentral